Mesocricetus auratus (golden hamster) is the source of this 7789-nucleotide long non-coding RNA. RefSeq lists it as uncharacterized. The record is from RefSeq and is a predicted model, not a curated record. The transcript has 3 exons. Lineage: Eukaryota; Metazoa; Chordata; Mammalia; Rodentia; Cricetidae.
UCUCUCUCUCUCUCUCUCUCUCCUCUCUCCCCCCUCUCCCUUUCUCUCCUCUUCCCUCCCCCUCUGUGUUUCUUCCAGAUCAGCUUCCUUCUUAGUCCAUCUCUACAUGCCCAGAGCUUCAAAUACAACCCUCCCAGUCCAGCUGCCACAAAACUUCGAUCAUUGGCUUUUGCACCUGGAAGAGAUGGACAUAGAACCUGGAUGGGUAAUUACAAACACAAUCUCUAUGUGCUUUUCCCCCAAUCAUGGGUUCCACGAUGCUUUUACGGGAGGGGAGGCUGUUUUGUUUUAUUGGCUGGACAGAUGCGUUUCUUUCCUCAUUCCCUUCUUGAUCUGUGUGUCUUUCUGGCUAACAGAGGUGUGCAUAGCUCUAUCUGUGAUGCUCUGUAGUCUUCUGUGAAAGUAUACGUCUUGCUUCCACAAGUAGACAUUUUGGAAGGAUUAUUUGUGUGAAAGAAUGAGGGAAGGUUGGCUGGUAACUGAGGCUCGGGACAUGAUACUCAUCUCAAGGAUAAAAAUGUUUUCAGGGGAAGUGGGUGAGUGUAGAUCUUUCCAAGUUUCCCUCGUCAUUCAUAAAUGAGAUUGAAGAGAUUUUUAAAAAGCAUUUCUGUGAGAAUUGUGAGCCUGGGGUGAUUCCUGUGUCAGCUUUCUGAACUGUGUGUGCAACGUUCCCUUAAUGUGACCCUGGAAAUAAUUGAUGCACUUCAGCAAUGCUCACACUGUGGAUAACAUGUUUUCUCUGACCAGUUUUGUGACUAAGUAAAAGGAGAACGUAUGAGGCAGUCUCUAGGUUAUGUUUUCCAUUUGGGGGAGGGGCUAGGGAAAGCGGUUAGUUGAAUGGGUCAGCUGAAGGGUGUAGAGAGAUGCUUUGAUUCCACCCCCUCAUUUUGUUUUGAGAAGACUUGCUUGAUAAUUUAUCAGUGAUUCUGACAUUAGGGUGUACACAGAAGAGGGCUGAGGUAGAAACAGCUCCUUGGGGUGUGAAGCUCACUGCCCAACUUCUUCCUCUCACCUUCCAAGUGACAGGUAGAAACUGCCUGCCUCACUGCUCUGCAUGAAACUUCCUUUUCUCCCAGUCUCUGCUCCCUCUUUGGACAAGAAGGGCCCUUGGGAGGAUGGAUAGCUGUCUCUCUGGCUCAGGGAGAGGGUCCUGGCAUCUGGAGAAUGGGACUCAGAACUCUGCAACUGUGCUAAGAGAUUUUAGUGGAAGUUGGAUCUGGCUUGCAGGGAAAGGGCUCUCAGGCCUUGCUUUCCUGUCCUAGGAGGGCAGGAGUAGCAGUGGGGAAGAGGGCAGGAAUGGUCUGCUCAUCCCACAGGCAGCUCAGUAGUGGCUUGGGUGUGUGUUUUUCUUGGACUGCUACCCCUAUACUUUUUGGUUAUGAGUCUAACAUUUAAUGGCUGAGCCACCCUCCAGCCCCAUUGGGUAGCUAUCCUUAAGAAAUAUGCGAGGCACAGGUGUCAAGGCUUCUGAGAUCACCUAGAUCGUUUAAGGAUGACAGUCGGGGAGAGAUACUUGGGUGUCCUUAUAUGUGUCCAAGAGGUUUCCCUUCAUUAAUGCCUGUCACCUUGACUGCCUUUGACCUGCCCAUGCAUAGUGGAGGCAAAAAUUCUUCUUUCCAUCCUUUCCCCUCUUCCCAAUAAACCCCUGAGAUUUCUGCUUGAAAGGCACCCACAGCAGAAUCUCUGAGGGCUCUGUUUGUCUGCAGAUUCUGCUAACUACGGAACUGCUGACAGUGGUUGUAACAUUUGCAGCAUUUGAGUCAUCUUCAGGCCAGAUCGUCACCAGGAAAACAACAGGGGUAGGGGGAGAGGGAAGCAGUCCCCACAGCCUGCACGGGGACAGCAGAGACCGAUGCAAGGAGAACAGACUUGGGGGCCCAGCUUCACUCGGGACUUGGACAGCUGCCACAUUCUGCCCAAGUUGGCUUUCCGAAGACUCGGUUUCAGUGUCUGGAAAGCGGGUCUCUAAGCACCUGUCUACUCUUCCAGAAACGUCCCAGCUACUCCCUGCUUUUCGCCGCUUGCCACACGGCUAUGACUUUGGUCACCACCUUGAUCACACUUAGUUGUGCUGUGAUCCUCUCAUUGCCCCAUAAGCCCUUUGAGGUCGAGAGCUGAGUAGCGGUCACAGUUAAGACUUCGGAAUCCAAGAAGUUCUGGAUCCACGGCAGAUUCUUGCCUUUGGCUUCCAGUUCGGCGGUGGAAAACUACUCGGCUCAUCUGGGAUACUUGUUUGGUUCUUGACUCGAAGCGCCCGAGAUGAAAGGCAGAGAAACAGCGGAAACAAAAGCUCAUGCCUUAAGUUCUGCCAUUUCCUCGCAGCGCUUCCUCCUGUCCUGAAAGACUGUUUUCUGAGUCAAGGUUCUGGGGUCUUCCUGUGGUUUCACUCUCCAUGCAGUCGUGCUUUCUAGCCGGGUCUCCAUGAGACCAGAACAUGCCCCCUAGUGCAAGCUUCUGAAUUAUGCCUCUCCUUCUCACGGCAGCAGCCAGGGUCCUGGCUACGCUUGGAUCAUGAGGUAUGAUGCAUCUCUCAGACCUAUUCACCUGUGCUUAGGGAGUGAGAACCAGGCCGUCCAGUGACUCUGAGCAUCAUCCGACACUGUGGGAUUAUACUACAAUCAAAGCCGUGUGGCUGUGUUGAGAAUUCUGCAGCCUGGGUGCCCAUGGCAUGGGUGGGCAUACAGUAUAUCCCCUCUUACAUUUUUGUGUGUGUGUGGGGGUCAGGACAAGCCUGCUAUUGGCUGGCUAAUGCAGGAGGUGAGGUGAAACUGGACGGAGAUGGGACCAGGUCCCAUCAGUAACCAUGCUCCUAAGGGUCUCAACGUUGGCCACUGGGACAACAGCAUGGCUGGAUCCUUCUCUUCCUGAGAGCUGCUUACUUUCUGUCUGCUCCUGGAGACUGUGCUAGAGUGCAGCAUGCAUCGAUCAUACCUGUCACCUCUGCCAACUGUGAGAUAGUGGGCAUGGUGCUUUCCUGGGGCGUCCCCUCUGAUUUUAUUCAUGUAAGUACUGUGUGCUAACUGAUUGCUCCUCUAGAGCUUCCUUCCUCAAAGACAAGCAAGAUACGAAGUCACCAAGCACCUUGUGAUGGUUGGCUUUAUUGUCAACUUACCCAGAAUCAUGUGGGAAGAUUAGUGAGGGAUUGUCCUCCUUGGGUUGGCCUGGGGGCAUGUCUACGGAGGUCUGCCUUUAAUUGAUGUGGAGAGACCCAGUCCACGGUGGGCAGCACCACUCCCUAGGCUUGGAUUCUGGGCUGCUUAGAGAAAUCAAGCUGAGAACAAGCACAUAGGCAUCAAUUUCUUUCUGUUCUUGACUCCGGAUAUGAAGUGACUGUUUAAAGUCACUGCCUUGGUUUCCUGUUACGGUGGAGUGCAACCUGGUAUUGUGAGCUAAAGCAGAUCUUUUCCCUCCUAAGUGGCUUUUUCUCAGGGUAUUUUAUAACAGCAACAGGAAUUAGAACUAGAAAUGCAUACGGUGUGCCAGAGUCUCCUUCCUGCUCUGUAGUCACAAUUCUCACAUUUCCUAGACGGCGACUGGUGCCGUUCCCUCUCUUGCUUAGGAGGCCAGGCUUGGGGAGGUGGCUUAGUUGGUAAAGUGUUUUGCCUUGCAAACACGAGGACCCUAGUUCAGCCCCUAGAACUCAUGGUGGGCACAGGAGCUGGGGGAUGACUCAGCCUGAAAAGCACUUGCCAUGCAAGCGUGAAGACUGAAGUUCAGAUCCUCAGUACCCAUGCAAACAGCCAGAUGUGGCAUGGCAGCACUGCUCCUGCAACCCCAGCACUGCAGGGGUGGAGACAGGCAGGGCUCCGGAGCUCACUGGCCAGUUUGUCCAGCAAAUCAGCGAGCUCCAGGUUCAGUGAGAGAUCUCGCUUCAAAGAAUAAGAUGGAGAGUGACUGAGAAAUGCUCCUAAUGUCAAUUUAUGGCUUCGACACACAUACAAGCAUACGUGAACACAAAGCUGGGCAAGGGGCAUGUGGAGACAGGAGGAGGUGGGCUCUCAGCUCAGCAACCUUAGACUAAUCAGUGAUGGCCAGGUCCCAAUAAGAGGCCGCCUCUCAGGGGAAAAGUGGUUGGCUCCCAAGGAAGGAUACCUGAGGGUCACCUCUGUUUCCAUAUAGGUACAUGUGCUCAUCUCCACACACAUUCACACACACACACACACACACACACACGUGCACGCAAGCACGCACACAGUAUUAAAAGAAACCCACGUUCAAUAGCCAUAGCAUGCAGUAAACGCCUGUAACCUUAGCAGUUGGAAGGUAGAAGCAGGAAGAUCAGAAGUUUAAGACCUUCAGCUACAUCAUGGGUUCAAGGCCACCCUGGGCUACAUGGAACCCUGUAUCACAAAACAAACAAAAACCCAGAAUCCAGGAAACUUGAGACUGAAAAUUCCUUGAGAGAACAAGGAGAAAAGUCCAAAGACAGUGGGCUCCUGCAGUCCAGCUCCUGUCCAAGCAAUGACUUGACCCACGUCCUCACUCUCCUAAGGGACACAUGAUGGGCAUAAGUGAGGCAGGAACUUCAAACAGAGCCCAGCAGUCUUGCAUACUACCCUUCUGUCUCUGGAGGACAUGGCUGGACAAGUUAGAAGGCUAUGCAAACAGAGGAAGCCAGUGCUGGCUGCAUUUUGGUUGCUGUCAUCCCUGGCUGAGACACUCUUCUGGGGUCCUCCUCCCCAUUCACACCUACCUCAUGACAGCAGCUGCAAGGAUGUGAUUAGACACAAAAAUCACAUCACAACCCCUUCUUUGUAGAGACCCUUUGGGGUUCCCAUGCUUGGUACACUGGGCGGCCUGGAUCUGACCAUCUCUAGCCCCUGGCCUGUAGCACUCUCUCUUCAGGCCCCUGAAAUGAGCCCCAUGUGUUUUCCUGCCCCAGGACAUUUGCAUGUGCUCUGUUAUCUACAUGAAGUGAAAGCAUAUUCUUCUCCUGCCUUUUCCUGAAUGACACCUAUUUCUUCCUCCAUAGAUGCCAUGGAAACACCAUUCUUUCAGAGAUGUGCCUUCCUGCCUCCUGGACCUCCUGGAUUUAAACUGGUUCCAUUCUCCCCGAAAAGUCUGUGUCCUUCACUCUGUCCAGUUUGUCAUUGUGUUUUCUCUGGUUUGUUUCUUCACGUCCCAUAUUCCACAGACACAGGCGCCACGUCUGCUCUGUUCUUCCUGCCCCUUAGAGCUCUGAGCCUGGCAUGAAGACUUCUCGGCACCUUCGGUUGGAAGCCGGUAGUGUUUGCAGCUCUCUGCUGGGUGUUUCAUGCAUCCCCGGUCAGUUCUGCGCUAGAAAGACACCCAGGACUGUCCCCACCUUUGGAUACAGUGCUAGGCUAUAGCUAGCUGUAGGGAUCUGCACAUACACCAGGGUUCAUUUAACCCUCAUGGAAUUCAGGCCUCCGUUUCCUCUGUUGUGAGAUGGGAUUUCCUAAGACGGGAAGGUUGGAAGAGGUUAAAGUAGCCAUUCUUUUCUCUUUUGCCUGUGACCCUUCUCUGGGCAAUAGCCCCACCCCCUUCUAAACAAGGACUCCCGAGGACCAGAGAUGUUAAGUUUGUCUGAGAACACAGAGCAGAGCUGGGUCCAAGAUGAGGGUCUUGCAUCUUAUAAGUGAUGAGAUUGUCCCUGCCACCUGCCAGACGUGGCACAGGGAACUCAGACCCAGAGGGUCAGGGGAAGGGAGCCCCACCCCCACCUCCAUCCCCACCCCAGAAGAGCAGUUGGUCCGUUUCUCCUGCCCAGUGCUUCCUAAUCUUCUGGAGCAUCCUCCCCGAGGGCAACAGCAACUGCCUCGACAGAGCUGAGCCCCACAUGACAGGCUUUCCCACACCAAGACCCUUGGGGGACCCCACACAGAAACUGACCUAUAUUAAUUUCAAGUGCUAUUUGCAGUCUUGGUCCCUUCCCACCCAGCACUUAACCCCACCCUGCACAAACUCACAAACACGUUGAUCAGCCCAAGGACCUUGUAAAAAUAAAAUGAUCUGACCCCGGCCAUCUCGGAGUCUCUGCCUUCUGGUGCUGCUGCGUUGAGGCAGGGGGAUAGCAAUCACAGCCCAGCCCACUUUGAGGAAGGGAUGCCAUCCUCCUGGAAGGAGAUGAGAAGGAGGCAGCAUUUAAAACGGGUGCAGGGAGCUGAUGGGUGUGAUGAGCUAGGGACCCAGGAGAGGGCAACAGGAGGAAGAGAGGAUUAAUGAAGUCCCCCUGGGGGCAGCUCACCCGGGAGGGAACAAAUUGCUAGAAAGAAUGGAGAAUGAAGACAGAGAAGGGAAAAUCCUGGGGAGAGUGUGCUGGACAGGGAGGGGUGACGUGGGGGUGUCACAGACUGGCCACGAGAGCAGAUGGAAGGACCCACAGCUAAUAUGACUAGGUUUUGUUUGGAGAAGAGGUGGGGGUAAGUGCCCCAGGGAAGAGUUAGGUGGGAGAGUCAGCUGUCAGACAGAAAGUGGAGGCCUGACCCUAAUGCGGCUUUCAAAUCAAGUGGAAGCCAAAAGCUGACACUCGAGGCUGUCCUACGGCCUUCGCAUGUGAGCUACCGCACGAGUGUAUGUCCAGAAACACACAAAGAAGAGCAGGACACAGGUCCGCAUGGUGGGAGGCCAGUAAAGAUGCAGGAAGAAGAUGCCUUCGCAAGCCAAGGAUGGGCUGGGAAGAAAUCAUUUACCUGACUUUGAACCCCAGGACCGCAGGGAAGGGACCUCUGCUCUGAAGCCUGGUAGGCUGUGGAGGUCUUGUGGCCACCCUCAUAGACUGCCAUCAGUCCCUCAUGUGAAAUGCACCCAUCUCUUCCCCCAGGCCUGUCUUUAUCUUGUCAUCUAAGUCAGGCGUGGGCAUGGUCACACCACGGAGUUCCUGGGUAGACAAGAGACAGCUCUAUCGUCUAACAGAAAGGGCCUCCAAAUAUAAGGGCCUCCAAUAUAUGUUUAGAUGGUUCCCUGUCUUUUUGGAAGCAUCUAGAAGGCACUGCUUUGAAUCUCGGUGACAUCUUAACAAAAGGAUUCACGGGCACACCGUUGGUUAAACUGUCUUCCUGGUAGGGACCCUGACUUUGAGCUUCGCCCAGAAACCACUUGUCAUUUUGAGAACUGUUGUCAAGCAGAGUCUGGGAAUAGGAGAUGUCCAAACCCAACUCAUUUGGUUUAUCUAUAGUCACUAGUUUGUUCACUGGCUUCUCUUAUUGACAGAGCCAGGAUCCGAACUCUAGGCAGCCACCUCAAACCUUGUGCUCUGGCGUGGAGACCCUGUUGCUCAUGCACCACAGAGCAGAGGGGAAGGUGGGUUGAAGCAGGGGAGACAGCAAGGAGCUUGCCAGGCACUGGGUUGGCUCUUGGCUGGAGGUUCAGAGAUAGAGGGAAACGUGAGGUUCUAGGAGCACCAGCCCACUGUGCUGCCCCCUUCCCCUUGCUCUGUCACUAAGCACUUAGUUCCUAGCUUCUAUUUCCUGGUGACCACUUUUAUACCCCCUAUGCAGGGCAAACGUUACACUCUACUCUCCUGCCAGCUGGAGCAACGGUUCUGUCUUCCCUCGGAAGGUCCUUCCACAUCAUGAGUUCAGUGUGAAUUCUAGCUCUUCUGUGAAGCCUUCCCUACAAGUUACUACUCCUGCUUGGGAGGGUCUGAACACAGGAUUCUCUCACUUGAAGUACAACUGAGGGGAAGCUGGCUAAGGUGAGGCUGGUGGAUAUCACUUGAAGUUGUGUGGCCCCCAGGUUCCUCCCACCCAAGGUUCUGUCAGCUUCUAGGAUGGAGGUUUGCAACCCGUGAUGAUUUUUUUUGUGAAUAAAGUUUUAUUGAGACACA